ACGGAGAGCGUAUGACAGAGGAUUCGUCCAAUGGAUUAUGUUUCUUAGUGGCGGACGGGUGAGUAACGCGUGAGGAACCUGCCUUGGAGUGGGGAAUAACAGGUGGAAACAUCUGCUAAUACCGCAUAAUGCAGUUGGGUCGCAUGGCUCUGACUGCCAAAGAUUUAUCGCUCUGAGAUGGCCUCGCGUCUGAUUAGCUGGUUGGCGGGGUAACGGCCCACCAAGGCGACGAUCAGUAGCCGGACUGAGAGGUUGGCCGGCCACAUUGGGACUGAGACACGGCCCAGACUCCUACGGGAGGCAGCAGUGGGGAAUAUUGGGCAAUGGGCGCAAGCCUGACCCAGCAACGCCGCGUGAAGGAAGAAGGCCCUCGGGUUGUAAACUUCUUUUGUCAGGGACGAACAGAUGACGGUACCUGACGAAUAAGCUCCGGCUAACUACGUGCCAGCAGCCGCGGUAAUACGUAGGGAGCAAGCGUUAUCCGGAUUUACUGGGUGUAAAGGGCGUGUAGGCGGGAAUGUAAGUCAGAUGUGAAAACUAUGGGCUCAACCCAUAGCCUGCAUUUGAAACUGCAUUUCUUGAGUACUGGAGAGGCAGACGGAAUUCCUAGUGUAGCGGUGAAAUGCGUAGAUAUUAG
This 637-nucleotide ribosomal RNA is filed under the name uncultured bacterium. RNAcentral's name for it is "bacterial SSU rRNA". It matches the Rfam family "Bacterial small subunit ribosomal RNA", at positions 59 to 700 of the family's 1533-position model. The record is from RNAcentral.